GGAAAGGUGGCAGAGUGGUCGAAUGCGCCGGACUCGAAAUCCGGUGUACGGUUUUACCGUACCGAGGGUUCGAAUCCCUCCCUUUCCG
This 88-nucleotide transfer RNA is filed under the name Rubrivivax sp. Its description in RNAcentral is "tRNA-Ser". It matches the Rfam family "tRNA". From Rfam's summary of the family: Transfer RNA (tRNA) molecules are approximately 80 nucleotides in length. Lineage: Bacteria; Pseudomonadati; Pseudomonadota; Betaproteobacteria; Burkholderiales; Sphaerotilaceae. The record is from RNAcentral.